RNAcentral lists this unclassified non-coding RNA (794 nucleotides) under Hevea brasiliensis (rubber tree). The record is from RNAcentral. Lineage: Eukaryota; Viridiplantae; Streptophyta; Magnoliopsida; Malpighiales; Euphorbiaceae.
UUAUAUGAUUUCUUAAAGCACCCUGACAAAAAAUAUAAGAAAACACGCCAGAUUAAGCACAAUCUUAGAUGCCUUUACUUUAGACUCAGAAAAAAUCAUGAAAAGGUAUCAUAAGGCAUAAGCUUCUCGCAAAUUGAUGUGUCUCACUUCCUUCUGAAAAAAGUAAGAAUGAAAUGGGAGACACUCCUUCAAGAUUGAAAAAUAAUGCAUACCCAUUAGAAGAGUUGGAUAAUGUAAAUUCAUAAGUCUAAUACAACAGCGGAAAAUGUUGCACUUGCACUUCUCAUGGAAUUAGUAAAGCCAAUUGCAUAUUUAAUUAGAGAUUUCUAUUGGAUCCCUUAUAGCUGGCUGCAGAUAAGGGUUCAAAAUUCGCAUCAAACCAAUCAUCAUAAGCCCACAUUCCGCAAAAUGAAAGGCAACGAUAUUUUUUACACCAACAAUUGAGAAAGCAACUACCAAGAUUAUAAAACUAAAGAAGAACAUUGAAAGUUUACAUCCUUUAUCUCUUGAUAGUACAUGAAAUGGGGCACAAAAUGGAAGCAUCACUAACAUUUGUAAAGCACUUCAAAAGAAGAAGAAACAAAGAGAAGAGCGAGGGAAGGGAAUGCUACCAUAGGUUGCUAGGAUGAGUAUGGUACAGGAUCAUCACAUAAAACUUAAAAAGAAGCCUUAUCCUGUAGAUGAGUUUGAGUUUUCCAUGUUAGAAGUCUUAGCCAAAGUACCUUCUUUUCCCCAAAAUUAUUUUUAAGAGUAACAAAAUGCUUAUUGCUUUUACUCUCUUUUUUUUUUUUUUG